Long non-coding RNA from Carassius gibelio (silver crucian carp), 379 nucleotides. RefSeq lists it as uncharacterized. The record is from RefSeq and is a predicted model, not a curated record. Lineage: Eukaryota; Metazoa; Chordata; Actinopteri; Cypriniformes; Cyprinidae. The transcript is spliced from 3 exons.
GAAGAAGAAGAAGAAGAAGAAUACGAGGGAAAAUAAGGAGGAAAAGUUAAACAAGGAGGAAAAGGAAGCGUGGAAAAUUAACUUGACCAAGCUGAAAAUGAAUCACCUUGACCCCGAAGAUGCCAUAUUCCUGGUUGAUGCAUUCCUGGAUGAGUGCAAGGUGGAUCAGCAUGGACAAACUAAAGGAGGGUCAAAACAAUCCACAAAGUUGUGUGUUUGGCCUGAUGAGGACAAAGAUGGUCAACCUCUGCCAAAAAGAUGUAGAGCUGGACAGAAACGAAAGCGAGAUUCAGCUACUGUUUCUUCAGCAAGCGUUAAAAGCGUGUCCUGUGCUCCGUCUACCAGCACAACUGAAGACACAGUGAUCAUCGAAUUUUUU